Molecule: long non-coding RNA, 1268 nt
Organism: Marmota flaviventris (yellow-bellied marmot)
Lineage: Eukaryota; Metazoa; Chordata; Mammalia; Rodentia; Sciuridae
Source: RefSeq, a predicted model, not a curated record
UCCAUGAGGCCAAGCAGGAGUCUGUGGACCAAGAAGUGUCAGCCUUGACUCUUGGGCAGCCAGCUCUGUGCUGCUCGGAACCUGAAUUGGAGAGAGGGGCUGGGUGCAGGGGCACUCACUGACCCACUGAAACUGGGCCUCAGGAGUCCAAGAUUUCCAUCCUGGUGCUACCACUUUCUUACAACCAUUUGGAGGAAAAUCUUUCCCAGAAGUCUCCCACACAGUCUCAUUCAAGUCCCGUUGGCCCAAGAUGGGGGUCACCUGCCAGUGCCCCAGCUGCAAGGGGGGAGGCUGGGAAGGGUCUCACUACGUUGUCCAGGCUGGCCUUGAACUUGCGAUCCUCCUGCCUCAGCCUCCUGAGUCUCUGGGAUCACAGGCGUGAGCCACGGUGCCUGGCUAUGCCUCGAAUCCUUCUGCUGGGCCUCCACUCUCCCUUAGAUCACCGUGACACCUGCCAGUCCAUCCACAGCCGAGUCUCCCCGUGGUUCACCGUCCACGCCCUUGGCUACCAGAGGAACUGUUCUAAAACCCAAGGUCUUGGCUUGGAACCCUUGGAAGACUUCACACCCUCCAGAGGUUGCUCAAGACCAUACGAGUCAACUGUGCCUCACUGGGGCCAAAACACCUGACGGGAACAACUUAGAGGAGGAAAAGUUUAUCGGGGGGCUCGCAGUUUCAGAGGUUCGGUCCAUGGUGAGCCAAGUCCAUUGUCCUGGGCCCGGGGCAGAACAUCAUGGCGGGAGAGUGUGGUGGAGAGCGGUCCACUCCCGCAGCCAGGAAACAGGGAGAGGAGCCAGGGACAAAUAUAUCAUCCCCGAGGUCAUGCCCCCAGCGACCUAAUUCCUCCGGCCCCACCCCAGCUGCCUACAGUUACCCCCAGCAGAGCCGUCCUUUCAAAUUAUUAAUCCAUCAACUGGCUCAAUCCCCUGAUUAGGUUACAGAUCUCCUGAUCUAAUCAUUUCCACCCUCAACAUUUCUGCCUCGCACAGGAGAUUUUUCCAGAUACCCCACGUCCAGACUAGAACAAAGACCUUUUGUAACAAGGCCCUGGGCUGCAUGGCUUGUCCUGCCUCCCCCCAACCCUCCCUGAGAUACCCCUGUGCACCCCAACCUUUGCUCAGGCAGGCGCCCACCUCCCUCUGCCGCCAUCGUAACAGAACCCAAUUCAGUCCCCCCUCCUGGGCCCUCCCAGGCUUUCUGUUUACACUCUAGCUUGGUCCUCGUCCCAAUUCUGUGUUCCGUGUCACAACUAUUGCUUGACCCGUCAC